Molecule: long non-coding RNA, 1064 nt
Organism: Solanum dulcamara
Lineage: Eukaryota; Viridiplantae; Streptophyta; Magnoliopsida; Solanales; Solanaceae
Exons: 2
Source: RefSeq, a predicted model, not a curated record
ACUGCAACAUCUCCACAGCAAAAGCCCACAGCAUAACAUUUCCACACUAUACUUACACCACUAAAAUACCCAAUUCCAAAGCCCACCAACACAUUACAACAUAUACGGCAAUAUACUCAUCCACACCAGCGUACACCCUUGCGUCUUCUUCUCCAACAGACACACGAACCAGACGAACCCCAAAACUACCAGAAUGACGUGGUGUCCCUCCUAUCUCCUUUAUUCGUACAAUGCAGUCACGCGAUGAGCACUGGAUUUGUAUCAAGAAUCUUCUAGAAUCCACCUGGUGGUUCUAUCUCAUGUAUCCAUCGUCCUUCGUUUAAAAUCAGACGGCUAUAAUUCUUAAUUCUUUGGGAAUUAGUACGACUCUAGCCAGCUCAUCCCUUAUCCUCUUAAGAUAUUUGAAUUUUGAAUUUCCUCUACUCAUCAAUUCCCUCAGAUACCCCCUCCCCCCCAAUUUGAAUUCCAAAUAUCUCCUAUAUAUACCCCGUCGUCUUCACUGUUUUAAGGGGGAUGGAUUAGAAGAAGAUUGAUAUAAGAAAAAGAGAAUUAAAAGCUUAAGCUUUUUAGUUUCUUCUCGAAUUCUAAGUUCUUCCUUACUGGAUUCAGCUCAUAGGUGGUGGAAUUGCUUCGAAGUCGUAGUCCAAGUUUGCUGCCCAGAAAGAGGAGAGUCCAAUUUGGACUCAUCUCUUCAUUCUCUUGCAUUUCGAGUUGGUUGAACCGACCAACACUUUCUAGUCUGCGUCGUCAUUGAUCAAAAGGGCUGGAAGCUGAUAUCUGGGUUUUGGAAAGCAUAAUUUACAGGUGUUGGAAGCCAAAAAUCAAUUGUAUACACUCAGUAUACAAACUGAUAUACAGGAGAUACAAGGGAAAAACGUGAAAUAUACAUUGAUAUAAAUUAGUGAUAUAUGGUAAAUUUUGGCUAAAAGUCCAAAAUACAGGUGGUCCAACAACUUAGUCCAGACAUACAGAAACUAAGUGUUGGGCAAAAUUUUCUGAUUUGUUUAUAUAUAUUUUUUAUUCGGGUUGUAAUAAUUUAUUUUUUAAUGUUUGUUUAGAUGUAA